AUCGAUAAAAAUAUCUAGUAACAACUAAAUGAUUCAUUUAGGCUCCCAAAAACAAAAACACAGACCUAAUGCAUGUCAAAUCGUACAACAUGAUUGAUAUAGUCAGCAUUCGGCAAACUGAUUUCAGUCACUUAUCUGAUAUCUAAUAUCCCAAGGCAUACUUUGAACUACAAUCCAAAAGAAAGGUUGACACAGAAGGCAUUGUAACUUGUAAGGUUGACGCUCUUCAAAGCCCGUUAUCUUGAGGUGGGGAACGGGUGUUGGGUUGGCUCUUCUCAACUGUAUCUUCGUUUGAUGAUGUAUCG
Molecule: long non-coding RNA, 305 nt
Filed under: Trifolium pratense (red clover)
Lineage: Eukaryota; Viridiplantae; Streptophyta; Magnoliopsida; Fabales; Fabaceae
Description: long non-coding RNA (TPRA_LNC013105)
Source: RNAcentral